This 460-nucleotide ribosomal RNA is filed under the name uncultured bacterium. Its description in RNAcentral is "partial 16S ribosomal RNA". It matches the Rfam family "Bacterial small subunit ribosomal RNA", at positions 338 to 795 of the family's 1533-position model. The record is from RNAcentral.
CCUACGUGAGGCAGCAGUGAGGAAUAUUGGUCAAUGGGCGCGAGCCUGAACCAGCCAAGUCGCGUGAGGGAAGACGGUCCUAUGGAUUGUAAACUGCUUUUGUACGAGGGUAAAUCCCGAUACGUGUAUCGGGUUGAAAGUAUCGUACGAAUACUGAUCGGCUAACUCCUUGCCAGCAGCCGCGGUAAUACGGAGGAUUCAAGCGUUAUCCGGAUUUAUUGGGUUUAAAGGGUGCGUAGGCGGUUCGAUAAGUUAGAGGUGAAAUCCCGGGGCUCAACUCCGGCACUGCCUCUGAUACUGUCGGGCUAGAGUUUAGUUGCGGUAGGCGGAAUGUAUGGUGUAGCGGUGAAAUGCAUAGAGAUCAUACAGAACACCGAUUGCGAAGGCAGCUUACCAAACUACGACUGACGUUGAGGCACGAAAGCGUGGGGAGCAAACAGGAUUAGAUACCCCUGUAGUC